GGGAUAGUCGGUCGGAGAAUCCGACCGAUGAAUCUCCUUUGGAUUAGGAAGUGGAAGCUUCUUCUCUAUCCGGACAUAAUGUUGAACGGCUCCGGAAGCAAUAUCGUAUCCCGAAGCAGUAUCAGCUUUUCACUUCUGGCUCCGAUGGUCGGGUGAACUCUCCUCCUCUGGGCUAGAUUUCUUUCUAUGUCAAAGACCUCCAGACCGGUCUUCGAUUUUUGAUUCCAAAUUUAUCCAAAAUUUGCUUG
This 248-nucleotide long non-coding RNA is filed under the name Elaeis guineensis (African oil palm). RNAcentral describes it as "long non-coding RNA (EGUI_LNC076864)". The record is from RNAcentral. Lineage: Eukaryota; Viridiplantae; Streptophyta; Magnoliopsida; Arecales; Arecaceae.